UACGGAGGGUGCAAGCAUUAAUCGGAUUUAUUGGGCGUAAAGGACGCGUAGGCUGAUAAGCAAGUCAGGUGUGAAAUCCUGGGGCUCAACCCCAGAACAGCACUUGAAGCUACUGUAUCUAGAGGGUAGGCGGAGAAAACGGAAUUCCACAAGUAGCGGUGAAAUGCGUAGAUAUGUGGAAGAACACCGGUGGCGAAGGCGGUUUUCUAGCUUAUUCCUGACGCUGAGGCGUGAAAGCAAGGGGAUCAAACAGG
This 254-nucleotide ribosomal RNA is filed under the name uncultured bacterium. RNAcentral describes it as "partial 16S ribosomal RNA". It matches the Rfam family "Bacterial small subunit ribosomal RNA", at positions 524 to 776 of the family's 1533-position model. The record is from RNAcentral.